UACGGAGGGGGCUAGCGUUGUUCGGAAUUACUGGGCGUAAAGCGCACGUAGGCGGCUUUGUAAGUUAGAGGUGAAAGCCCGGGGCUCAACCCCGGAAUAGCCUUUAAGACUGCAUCGCUUGAACGUCGGAGAGGUGAGUGGAAUUCCGAGUGUAGAGGUGAAAUUCGUAGAUAUUCGGAAGAACACCAGCGGCGAAGGCGGCUCACUGGACGACUGUUGACGCUGAGGUGCGAAAGCGUGGGGAGCAAACAGG
This 253-nucleotide ribosomal RNA is filed under the name uncultured bacterium. Its description in RNAcentral is "partial 16S ribosomal RNA". It matches the Rfam family "Bacterial small subunit ribosomal RNA", at positions 524 to 776 of the family's 1533-position model. The record is from RNAcentral.